RNAcentral lists this transfer RNA (59 nucleotides) under Plesionika izumiae. RNAcentral's name for it is "tRNA-Leu". Lineage: Eukaryota; Metazoa; Arthropoda; Malacostraca; Decapoda; Pandalidae. The record is from RNAcentral.
AAUGGCAGACAAAUGCAUAAGACUUAAAUUCUUACUAUGAACUAAAUACCUAAGUUCUU